CCGUACAGCCCCUUGGGAGUAGGGGGUGUGCAGCCUACUCGUCCCGCCCCUGCCUCUGAGUGACAGGACCGUGGACAGCAACAUUUCCAGCAGGACACGAAGUUUGUCGGCCCUUGCCUUGGCUGAGCUAAGUAAGAAAAAGCAACCAAGAACAUUGUUAUUGGUAUCUGGAAUUGAAUUUGCCAGGAAUGCAAGCACGGCUUCUUCAGUAAAGAUCUUGCCUUUGGAAACAUCUUACCCCUUGGCAGCUCUCCAGAGUUCAGACUUAGCAGCAUCAAGGACACAACACAAGACUACACAUCCAAAAGGUGUUGGUAGGAAAGCUCAUGUACUUCCAUGACCCAGAUGCAGCAGUGGGAAGAGAGUGGCUAAUUAUGCAGUGACACACUGGUCAUAACAAAUUUCAAAAGGGGGACUAUGAAGUGCAAUAUUGUCUCUACCCAGAGGGAAAGGAGAUUUGGAAGAUAUCAGGCAUUUUGGAGAUCAAAGAUGGGUAGAAAAGAUGCCUCCACUGUAAAACUUCCUGUUGAUCAGUACAGAAAGCAAAUUGGUAAACAAGAUUAUAAAAAAACCAAACCUAUUUUACGAGCAACCAAAUUAAAAGCAGAAGCAAAGAAAACAGCAAUAGGCAUAAAGAUCACUGUCCUUGACAACCAAGGUAGAAAAAUCAUCAGACCUUAUCAGAUCUGUUCUCUGCUUGUCAGCUGUCAGCAUUGUGCAAUCGGACCUGAGCCACAGGCAAACCUGGACCUUCCCUGCUCUUAUGUGGGAUAUCAGUGGACAGGAAGGAUAUGCUAUCAUUUUGUGCCAGUUUGUAGACAGACAUGGAAGGGAGCAUUUUCUGAUGUAAAAAGGUUAAUGCCAACAAUGCAGGUGAAGGUAUAGAAGUUUGAUGAAGCGAGUGGAUAGAAAGAGUGAAAAAAAGAAAUUGGAGAGGAAGGUGAAAGAGAGAGGAAACUCCUAAAAGACGGCAUGUCACAGAUUUCUGACCAUGGGGUAUAAUUGUAAAUGUGCUGAGGACCAAGAGGACCUUUGCUUUUUCAUAUGAAACAGACAGAUGUAGCUGAUGCUGCUACCCUUUCCUUCACUUUUUCCUGCCUUGAAUAUGGCUAUGAGGUCAGGAGUUUCAGCAGCCAUUUUAUGACCAUGAGAUGACAAGUGUGAGGAUUAAAAGCAACCCACUAACCAUGGAUAGAGGAAAAACAGAAUAAACCCGGGUCUCCAUUGGCAUCGGUGGACAGCUGAACCAAGGUAAAUAAUUGUCUACCACUAAAAUCUUUGUUAUUGAACUUACAUUGUUAAAACUGUUAGUAGAAUCUUCUAUUAUUUGAAAUCAGAAGCGUUCCUAACAGAAAUACAUGGCGUACAUUGCCUACCAUAAUUCUCCCACCUUCCAGUGAUAUCCGUGUUCUUUGAGUUCCUAAAAUGUUCAUCCCUGCCUUGGUGACUCCUAUCAUACCACCCAAUCCCCCACCCUCACACUUCACCUAGCUAAUGCCUUCUCAGUCUCCAAAUCACAGUUAAAAUGUGUCCAAGAGACUUUCUUUGAUCCCUAGAGUAGGUCAUCUCCUUCAGUUACAUACUCUUGUAACUUCCACUGAUUGUCUUUCUUGGUACACAUUUGAAGCACAUAUUCAUCCGCAUAGGUAUUUAAUAAUAUUGUCUUUUCCACGAGAGUGUUCAGGUUGAAGCUAUAUUGCUUACUAUUGUCUGCCCAAUUUUUAGCAAACAGCAUGGCAUUGAAUAAGCAUUGAGUUACUUCAAGGAAGGAAAGAAAGAACAAAAGAAGGAAGGAAGAAAGUUCAUGUGAACUAAAAUCUCAAAUCUGAAGUUAAACUUGGGCUUUCCUUUGAAUUUUUAGCUUUCUAUCUCAUGAUAGUGGUAUUUCCCCUGCCAGGUAAGUAUUGCUUUCUAUCUUACAUGUGAAAAAAAAAAAGAAAGAAAGAAAGAAAGAAAGAAAGAAAGAAAGAAAGAAAGAAAGAGCCUAAAGUGAAUGGUCUGUGUUUUUGAAACCCAAUACAAAAGCAUGAUAAUGCACUCUGUUGCAGAAAGUGUUAAAAGAAAAAUCCAUUAUUCCUUUAUUAUUUUGGUUUCAUUUGAUCUCAUUUAAUUUUGUCAUUACAAAAAAAGCAAAAAACAAAAACAACAACAACAUUGAGUUCACGUGUUCUACUGCAGAUUGGUGUUUGAUGCAUCACUGUCAGAGAGCCAGGAAUGGGAAAAGUGAUCAGUUUUGACAUUGGAUUUCAUGGCUUGCUAAGGAUCCAGUAGACUCCCAGAAGUUUAUGCACGGUCUAUAAGGGGCCAUGAAACUCUCUGAAAUUAUAUACCAAAUUUUGUAUGUACAUGCAUUUUUCUAGGGAGAGAGGUUAGAGCUUUAAUCAGAUUUUCAAUAUGGUUUUAGUUAAGAAUAGGUUAAGGUUAAGAAUCACUGGGUUAGGUUACUAAAUAUAGUGGUGGUUUUGGAAAUCAAAAGUUAUAUACUUUUUAAAAAGAUUAACUUAUAGGUGUUUACUAUAUGCAUAUUUGGGGGAAAUGUACUUGUAGUAUAAAUAAAUCCAUGUUUUAUGGGGUUUUUUAAAGAUAAUCGGAUCAAUUAAUCAAUCAAUUUGUUAAUCUGCCACUUUGCAAUGCACUAAGAUAAUGACACUUCUUAUAUAUCACUGUGCUAAGCUAAUUAAAUGCAUUAUAUCACUUAAUUUUUCUAGCAAAUCUACAAAACUGCUAUUAUUAUCCUCCUUUCCCUAAUAAAGGAAUACAGUCUCUGAGAUUUCCAAUAACAUGCUCACUGCAGGGUGAGCUGAAUGCAGGGAGAAAGUAAAGUAAUAUAUUUCCAGCCUUCAUGAAAACCAAGACUUGUGUAAAUGAGAAAAUAGUGAUCAUUUGAAAGUAAUGUGUUGAUAAUGGCCAGAGAUACAGUAAAUGAUAUUAGUAAUAAUAAGCACUCUAGGAUUUAAAAAAGAUCCUUGGGGAUUCUGUCUAGACUGUGAUCACUGGUUAAAAGCUGAGUAGAAGACAAAAAGAGAAGAUUUUAAUCAGGAUCAGGAUCAGGAUUUAAUCAAGAUCGGGACUGACAAGAUGAGUCAAGGGGCGAAGGAGUCUGGCUGAGCUAAGCAGUGGACUCUUGUUGGAGCAAGGGUAGAUAAGGUUGGAAAGGACGUCUGGGAGUAGUUUGACAGUCUUGUGUACUAAACUAAAACGUUUGACCUUUGCCCUUAGAUAAUGAGAACCACUUGAAGAGUGUUUUGAGCUGGAAGGUGACAUCAUGCAAACUGUUUUUAGUAAGAUUAAUUUGGUACCAGUCCCCUGGAUGGACUGGGAAUAGGCAAGACCAGAACAAGGUGGUUCAGCCAGAAAAGCAUGGAGAACUGAGAGAAACAGUGAUGUGGAUGGAAAGAAGGGAAGAAGAGGAAGGGAAGGAUUUGAAAGGCAAUCCCAGGAACAGCUGAUUUUGCUCAGUGUAACUGUCUGUUUAAAAAUGGGCCUUCCCAUAAAAAAGGGGAGAGCAAGCAGGAGGCUCCACAUUUGUGAAGUUGGACUCUGAAGGAGCUCCUUAUACCUCAUCUCCACCCCUUUCAAUCUCUACUUCUCCUUCUUUUGCGUUCUGAGUUACCUCUAUUUUUGUCUCCAUUUUUGAUUCCUAGACUUGUUCAACAGACUUAUUUUAUUCCUGUUGAAGGACAAGCAUUCAUCUAAUGCUAGAAAAACAGUAAUAACCAAGAGACGCAAGGCCUUAGCUAUGAUGGAGCUCUCAUUCUAUCGUUGAUAGACAGUCACCAAGUAAACGAACACAUCCACAAGGAAAAAGGCAGAGAAUUAAAAUAAAGUAAUGUGACAGACAAUGGCUGGGGGAAAUGUAGUCAGAAUGUUAAAGUGGCCCUUCUGAGAAAGUGACAUUUAAGCAGAGAUUUGAAUGACAAGAAGCAGACAGCCAUACAAAAUAUUGGUAAAAUAUUUUUUUAGUGCUCUGUGUACAGGACACAGUGCAAUGGCCCCAAGACAGAAAUGAACUUGGCUUGUUCCAGAAGCAACAAAGGGACAGUUGGCUUGAAUGUGGUAAGGCACAGUGAAAGUGGAAGGAGAUGAUGUCUGAAAGGUAAGUGGAGACAGGAUGAGAUAAGGCUGGGUAGGCCACUGUAAUAAGUUAGGGUGUUGGCAUUGUAAUGAGUUAGGGUGUUACUCUACUUGGGAAGGAAAACAAUUGGAAAGUUUUCAAGAGGAAUGGAAGAUAAGAGCUAAUUUCCAUAUUUAAAAGAUCACUCUGCUGCUCUCUGGAAAAUUGAUCACAAGGGCCAGAGGAGAGGCAGGGAAAAGAUAGGGAGUAUAUUGCUGUAGUUCAGUCAAGAAGUCACUGUCAGAGGAGACUUGACCAGAAGUUUUACAGAGAGUAGUAGAGAACUGUUGGGAAUUGGGAUGUAUUUUGAAGUCAGAGUUGGUAAUUUUUACUGAUGGGUUGGGUGUGGAUAAAGAAAGAGCAGAAUCCCAAAUAAGUCUUAGAUUUUUGACUUCAGCAUAAACAAUGAAACUAGGUAACUGGAAAACAUUAAGACUGAGUUGGGGGCAAACAAAUUUUUCCUCUCUUGGCUAUGUUAAAUUCCUCUCUUCUGCUCUAUUAGGUUCCAGCCUGACUUUCUCCUCUUUGCAUAGAAAGUUGAUGACUUAGUAACACCAUUCCCUUGAAAUAUCUCCCUCCCUCACCCUACCAAGAUGGUCAGCUCUUCUGUAUUAGAUUUGGGGGAAGUCUUGACUUCAUGGACUGACAUUGACAGGUAGCUCAUGGUGGCUGGCAGACAGGUGAGGGCAAGCAGCAGGGGUGUUUGAGAUAUUAAAGAGGACUGUAGGGUGUUAAAACUUAAGGUAUUUUAAGGUUUAGGCUUGGAGGAUGGGAUUGCAAUGGAUAGACCUCUGGAUAUCAAGAGAGGAGAAGUAGAUAUAUUUGACAACAAUCUGAGAUCAAAACCGGAAAUUUUCACCAUAAUAUUUUACAUGAGUUAGAGAUACACUGUGUGGAAAGUCCUGUAUUCCUGCUCUACAAAGAAACAUAUUGUGUAGAGUCAGUCUGGUUGCCAGAUCAUUGAUCAAGAAAUCCACAUAAACAUCUGAACUUUAAAAAUGCUCUGAGCUUUCAGAAGUUUGUGCCAAUUUAAUUAUUUCACUAAUAUUCUUUUAUGUUAGCAUCCAUAUAUCAGUAAGAAACCUUAUUUACAGAAUUCACCAGCAGGCUUUAAAUGGGAAGCAAUUAAAGGUUGAGCCCACUUACAGAAAUGGAACGUUCAUGUAACUUUUGAGGAUCACAUCCAUUACGUUAAAUAAAAUACAACUGUGUGAAGGGAGUUGUGUUGUUUAGUGAGGAAUUUUGGACCAAUAUCUCCUGAUUUGUUUAGAGAUUUGUGGAGGAGAAAUGAAUGGCAGUUGUCCUUCUCAUUCUCAGGGUUGAGUUGUCUUCCCAAGAAGAGAAUUUUGCAAAAAAUAUGCUUUUUAAAACCCCAAAUUGCCUUUUUCAUCUUGAAAAGGAAGCAUCAGAGGAGUUAAGAAAAUUUACCAUGGUUGAAAAUCUACUUCAUUUUCUUUACAGAUUAUUUUGAAUCUGCUUUAAGAAAUGCGUAUGUCCUCUCUAAAUACAUGGUGGAGAUGGUUCAUUGAGUGUUAUGAAAAGAAAGUUUAGUCUCAUUUCCUAAGCAGACUUUUUAACCUGACAGUGCUAAAUGGGGAAGAAUUCUUCGGGAUUAUGGCGUGUGUUUUGAAAGAGAUCCUGUAACAGCUGGUUAUUUUCAGUCAUGUUCCCACUGCAGGAAGAUACUGCUGUUGUAUGAAGUAGGGCGACAGAACCUUGCUAUCCAUGCAACAUUGGAGAGAAAAAAAUUUCCUUUUAUUUAAAACAUUUUUUUUAAUGUUUAUCUGUUUUUGAGAGAGAGAGAGACAAGAGUGUGAGCAGGGGAGGGUGAGAGAGAGAGAGGGAGACAGAAUCCGAAGCAGACUCCAGGCUCUGAGCUGUCAGCACAGAGCCCAACGUGGGGCUCGAACUCACAAACUGCGAGAUCAUGACCUGAGCCGAAGUCGGACACUUAACCGACUGAGCCACCCAGGCGCCCCUCAUUUUAUUUUUUAACAUCCACAUUUUACUCUUUUGCUUAUAGAAUAUGUAUUCAUGUGAAAAACUAAUGAACCUACUGGCAGUUUCAGAUCCUGAAGAUCUAGAAAAAAAUUUAUUUUUAAGUCUCCAAAUGGGUGGAGCUUGUGACCUUCCCAGUCAUUUCUAUGACAGAGAAUCUGCGUAUUGAACAAGUCUCGAACUCCCCUUUUCUUAACUUACAAGGUACUGGCCUACUUGAUAAUUCUGAUCCAAAAGCUUGAAUCAUUUUGGGGUGAGAUUUCUGUGAGUUCACUGUAUGGUGUACUCUGUGGCCAUGAGAAAUCCAUCCAUCAGGUACAUUUCUGAUUGCACACAGGUAAAUGGUUUAUAGACUGUUAGCCCGCACUGCUGGUUUAGAUUUGAGGAAUUACUCUACAAGAACAAGGCAGGUUCUAUUUUUGACAUUUCAGCAAUGAGACCACUUGUACAUUAUGGCCUGAUUUGAUUUACUGUAAGAAAAUAAGAGUGCUGUAAUUUGUAAAAGACAUUUAUUACAUGAGUCCAAAAAUUAAAAAAAAAAAAAAAUGCUUAGUGUCUCUGUCCAUCCCAUCUGGUUUUAUUUUAAUCUCACUCCACUCACAUAUGAAAUUUUGCUUAGCUGUCUUCAUUUUCUUAGUCAAUCUUGAUUAAUGGCCUUCAAAGUAAAAAUAAUUG
Molecule: RNA transcript, 6787 nt
Organism: Panthera uncia (snow leopard)
Lineage: Eukaryota; Metazoa; Chordata; Mammalia; Carnivora; Felidae
Gene: TRIQK
Gene name: triple QxxK/R motif containing
Exons: 9
Source: RefSeq, a predicted model, not a curated record